AUAUUUAAUAAUAAUUUAAAAAAUAGGCCAUAGGGCCCAUGCCGGGAGCUAGAGGGAAGACAGCUGAUCGUCAUUAGGAGGUGGAGGCGAUCCUCAUAUGCAGACAGUCAAGACCCCCACAUGGAUUCGAUUUCGUCCGGCCCCAGCUCUCCUGCCGGGCUCGGCCGCACCAACAUGUACCAGCAGGGUCCGCGCAGCCCAGGCCUGAGCGCUCGCCUUUCCUGCCACCGGUUCCUGGCCGGGCUGACCCGAGGAGGACAAAUGACCCGCCAGCCAGGGAAUACAUUCUGCAGACAAUCAGGCACCUGCCGGGGCCUGGACCUCCCCCGAUAAUGAACCGGCCUUCGUUAUCCUCAAAGAUGUUUUCUAAGAAGAAAACCUGUGGCCCGACUCUUGGAAAAAUGAUUUCACAGAGCUUGGGCCUGGGGAGGAACUGCUCGCACCAGUCCCUGGACCACCUGCCGGAGACGGAAAAACUGUUCUCCCGGGUCAGACACUGAUUCAGUCCUGCUGGUGGGAUGAGAUGUGGUUCCGGGAGCGGCCGCAGCCAUCUCGAACCCAGCGUGGCGAUGAAGCCAGUCCUGAAAUCUGCCCUCCCUCUAGACUGCUC
This is a long non-coding RNA of Myotis brandtii (Brandt's bat), 610 nucleotides long. RefSeq lists it as uncharacterized. Lineage: Eukaryota; Metazoa; Chordata; Mammalia; Chiroptera; Vespertilionidae. The transcript has 5 exons. The record is from RefSeq and is a predicted model, not a curated record.